GAUGAACGCUGGCGGCGUGCCUAAUACAUGCAAGUCGAGCGAACAGAUAAGGAGCUUGCUCCUUUGACGUUAGCGGCGGACGGGUGAGUAACACGUGGGUAACCUACCUAUAAGACUGGAAUAACUCCGGGAAACCGGGGCUAAUGCCGGAUAACAUUUAGAACCGCAUGGUUCUAAAGUGAAAGAUGGUUUUGCUAUCACUUAUAGAUGGACCCGCGCCGUAUUAGCUAGUUGGUAAGGUAACGGCUUACCAAGGCAACGAUACGUAGCCGACCUGAGAGGGUGAUCAGCCACACUGGAACUGAGACACGGUCCAGACUCCUACGGGAGGCAGCAGUAGGGAAUCUUCCGCAAUGGGCGAAAGCCUGACGGAGCAACGCCGCGUGAGUGAUGAAGGUCUUCGGAUCGUAAAACUCUGUUAUUAGGGAAGAACAAAUGUGUAAGUAACUGUGCACGUCUUGACGGUACCUAAUCAGAAAGCCACGGCUAACUACGUG
RNAcentral lists this ribosomal RNA (497 nucleotides) under uncultured bacterium. RNAcentral describes it as "partial 16S ribosomal RNA". It matches the Rfam family "Bacterial small subunit ribosomal RNA", at positions 28 to 507 of the family's 1533-position model. The record is from RNAcentral.